UGGAAUUACAUAUUUAUUCUAUAGUAUAAUAAUAUGUUAAAAUGAUUACAAAAUAACUGUACAUAACAAUAUUUGUCAGUGACAAAACAGCACUUUUCUAUUCUCACAAACAAAGGUUUAUGCUAACAACAGGAGUCCAAAUAUGUAAAAAAAAACACUAAUGUACAAAAGGUGUGGUAACAUGGAAUAGUACAAUAUAACGUGCCAUAAUGGUUAAAUCUGAGAGAAUACAUUCAAUACUUUAGCUUGUGGGUUAGUUUAGCACUAAAAGUAAAUCCAAAUAUAGGAGUUUUAGUAAAAAAGAACGAUAACAGGUCAAAAACACAUGGCCAGGAAACAAAACAAAAUUAUAAGGAUUAAUAACAUUUAACAAAUUUUAUCAAAU
Dreissena polymorpha is the source of this 385-nucleotide long non-coding RNA. RefSeq lists it as uncharacterized. Lineage: Eukaryota; Metazoa; Mollusca; Bivalvia; Myida; Dreissenidae. The record is from RefSeq and is a predicted model, not a curated record. The transcript is spliced from 3 exons.